Molecule: long non-coding RNA, 8161 nt
Filed under: Zea mays
Lineage: Eukaryota; Viridiplantae; Streptophyta; Magnoliopsida; Poales; Poaceae
Description: long non-coding RNA (ZMAY_LNC004601)
Source: RNAcentral
CAACACUGGGUGCAGAUGGUCGCUUGUGGAUGGAAGGCUUCAACAUUGUCCAGUGUGGAAAUUACGCACAAUCAGUACCUACGGCCAUACCAGUUGCUCAGGUGCCUCAGCUACUUUACCAGUCAGAGGAUGAACUAGCGGCGAGGCGAACACGCAGUCACAUCACAAUCUCAUCGUCAGUUGGGUCCCCUAUAAACCCGCUCCAGCGCUCUCCGAUCAGAGCGACUCCAUUGCGAGUCGGUUCAUACCCCCGGUCGACAGAGGUGUCCGUCUGUACUGCUGUGAAUAUAGGUUCGGCUUUUCCGGCCAUUAUGAUCACGACCCGAAAAUAGUAGCUCAAAGCACGGCCGGACACGAAAUUUGUCUUUACCAAUUUAUCUUUACCACGCUUCUGUUUCCCUAACAACUUGAGGCUUGUCCCCUUAAAUAUUUCUUGAGUGUCUGGAGGAAUCCUUGUCAUCUAAACACUUAAAACACAAUACUAAUUAGUUGCACGUGCAUCGCUACGAUUUCUAUAUAUCAUAUAGGUAGACAUUGCUUAAAUGUGAUAGUUUUUCAAACACGAUUGUUCUCUCGUCUUUUUCCACGCUCGAAUGGGCUAUGCCUAGUAAGUCGGCACGGGGCACAACCCAUUUAUUGGUGUCGCGGCCCAGUCUGGUUCGGCAGUCACGACCCAUUUAAUAGUGUCACAACAUGAACCGGCAUGAUUCAAAACAGACUCAUGCUAGUCCCGACCGAGAAUCAUGUCAUGUAUGGGUCAACUUCUAGGCCACGGUGUUGGCUCAGACACUAUUAUAUUUUUUGUUUUUAGAUUAUAACUAUACAUAUUUAUAAUCUACCGUUCACGUAACAAAAACAUGACCUCUUUGAUUGGCUUCUCCAUGUAGCUUGGCUACAUGAGCCAGGCUAGCGAGAGUCUGGCUCCAGAGAUGCAAUCAAUUUGCUCGCGACUGCAGAGCCUAGUCCAGGGUACUUUGAGUAUUGUGAGAGUCUGACUCCACAUCUGCAUGUUGGUAACCAAACACACACCUCGCACGCGUAGAGCCUGGUUGACAACAACCAAACACCAGCUCAUUGUAUCAUGUGAUGUAAGCACCAGCAAAUACAGUCAACCAAACACACGAAUAGACUCUAUUGGUUAGAGGAGUGGUUACCUACCACUAAUAUCUAUCAUUAACAUUGGUAGGUAAACAUUGCAGCAAAUUUAAAGGAUAUUAAUGAAAAAAUCUACAUUGAGCUGUAGGGAUAUUUUCUCUUCUGCUGGAAAAACAUCACUAUUUUAGAUUUGAGACUUAUCUACCUACCAAUGAUUAGUGGUUACCAACAUAUGAUCAUUGGUUGGUAGACUCGUAUUACAAAUUUAAAGAAAAAAUUCGUGCAACUUAAAAGAAAAAAAUUAUCUAGACACAAUCAUAGAGAAAUUUUUUCUCGCAUCGGCAACAGGUAGGAAUAUGAGGUGGAAAAAGUGGGUUUUCCACCUGUAGGAAUGAUAAUAAACUCUAAAUUUUAUACUAUAAAAUUUAAGUAUCGAACCAGAUUAAAAUUGAACUUUAGUUUUAUUUAUUUUUUAAACUAAAAAUAAUCAAAUACUCUAUUUAUUGUGAAGAAACAUUUGGAUCGUGAUCCAUUACCACGCAUAUCUGUGUGUAUGUGAACAACUUACAACCAUGUCACUACAUCUCACAUUUUCACUCCAUUCAAACUUCAUUUUCCACAUGCAAACGAGAUUGGCGGUAUUCUUGCACACAAUAAGGCUUUGUUCGUUUCAUCCCUAAUCCAUAGAGAUUGAGGGGGAUUUUGACUUGUAGGGGAUUCAAUCCCUCUCAAUCCCCAUGGGUUUGAUAAAAACGAAUAGGACCUAAAGGGGUGUUUGGUUUCUAUGGACUAAUCUAUAGUCUCUUCAUUUUAUUCUAUUUUAUACCCUAUAUUGUUAGAUACGAAAACUAAAAAGUUUGUAUAUUUAGUAAUUUAAGUACUAAAAUGGAAUAAAAAAAGAGACUAAACAUUAGUCCCUAGAAACGAAACAACCCUUAAGUUAGCACGAAAGCUUCUUACAUGUGUAAGAAAAAAUAAAAAAAUUCUGAUAUGCCAUCAGCUUUUAUACUCAUUCCUUGUGUGCCACUGACCGGCAUAUAGGUAUAUUUUUUUGUAUGACAUGUGGGGUCAAUGGCACACAAGAAACGAGUAUAUUUUCCAAUGGUAUACAGAGAAUUGGCCCAAGAAAAAAAACACCAAACAGCUAACCACAGCCUAAGAAUGCAAACUUGGCUACCAAUUUGAUUCAGUCUUAAACAUUGACCUAAAGGCUAGACGAGCAAAUAGCCACGCAAACAAGAAUACAAUUCAUGGUGUCCGGACACGAUGCCAAUGCUUGAAUUAAACAAGAGUGUCAGUAGCGGGCUGCAAAAUUGUUUACCAUCGCAGGAUUUCUGAAUUGAAGACCACACAAUAAUCUAGAGUGUCCAUCUCACAUUUCAACCAAUUGAUGUCGCAGAAUCCUACGUAGCACUACUCGUCGUCCUCCUCGCCAUCGCCGCCGCCACCGCCGCCAGAGGCCUUCUGGUUCUUGCGCUUCACCCUUCCAGCAGGACCACCACCCAGAGGACUGGUGAGGGAGAAGUCGAUGUGCUUCUCUGACUCGACCCUGACCAUGAACGAGGGAAUGUUGACGGGCUGCCUCCCCACCCUGUGAAAAUGUUUUAGGACCCCUUGGUGACAAAAGUCCCAUAAAUCCAAGUUGCUAAACUGUAACUUGUCUGUCAAUCUACCAAACUAUGGCAACAAUUUAAAUUAAAAGUACAAGCAUCCCUAUCAAUAAUCUGGUCUUCUCCAUAAGCACCACAGCUCAUUUUCUAUGCAGAGCACAGGACUAAUUCAGUGAUACAUGUUACAAAUCAUCACAUUCUGCUAAAAAGGAUUUAUGCGAGGCACCCUAUUUUACUAGAGUGCAAGCAAAGCAAUGCAUUAGAAACUAACCACAUGAGGCAGAGUUACGACACUAACCACAUGAGGCAGAGUUACGUCUGAGUCUGACAGGUUUGGGAAUGGACAGAACAAGGCGUUCCAUGUUAAUUAGAAACUAAAGAAUCUGAAAGAAAUAAGACAACAUAAUCACACAUUGAAAGGGAAAAAAGAAAAUAGAAAAUGUUAUUUGAACAUCCAAUAGGGCACUCGGAAUGCAAAAGGACAUAAGAAUCAUUGACCUUCUGGCCUCGGAGAUACAUUAGUAAAAUUAACUCCUCAUUGUACCCAACAAAACAUAGAAAUACAUGCACAGACAUUAGAAUUUAGAAGGAACAUGACAUGAUGCACAGGAAGAAAGCAAUUUGCAACAAAAAACAAAUUUGAAAUUAAAACUACAUUAAAAAAUACAAAAUGAAAUGAAUGAUGAAAUUAUGUUAAUACUGAAUCAAACAUUCCAAACGUUCAGUGUCUUGUCACCAAGAUUAUUCAUUUUUCCACUGAAGAAGACAGAGCAAGGACCUCACUACAGUAAAAACGAACCAUAGAGAGAAGGCAAGGGUCACACAAACUAUUCAUUAUGGUAACAGGUAUAAGACCAUCGUGAGAAUUGCACAUGGUUUUUCAUCAUAUGGCCCAUCCAAGAUCAAAUGUGUCUUUACAACUAAUCUACAACCAACUGCAGCAAAACAUAAUGAAAAAAUUGGGCACAGUCUGGAACAAUAUAUUGCAAAUUCAUAACUAAAUUUUACCAUACAACACAAGUUGAUGCACAAUCGAGGGAUCAGGAGCAUAUGAUCAAACCUGAUAUGGCGCUACCUGAUCAGAACACGAGCAUGGUGGAUGGACUUGGCCAUGCCAUUCUUGAAGACGAUGGUCUGGAGGCGGCGCUGGAGAAAGUUCUCAACAGUGAGGGCAAGCACAUAAUCAAGCUUGUUCUGUCCCUCGCCAAGGAGACCAUAUCGGUUCAUGCGGCGGAGGAGUGCCUCGCCCUCAAAGAUACGGCGUGGGUUCUUCUCAUCCAGGGUGAGCAGCUCCCUGGCUGCAUUCCUGAUACGGCUCAGGGCAUACUGCACGCGCCACAGCUCACGCUUGCAGCGGAGGCCAUACUCACCAACCAGCUUCAACUCAGCAUCUAGGCGCUUGUCAGCAGACAACAUGUGAGCCAACAUGUUGACGAAGUGCAGCAGCCGGAUGGAGUUCUGAUGGAAGAUGUAAAGGCUGCGGAAAUAGGCCAAGACGAUGUCGAAGCUGGAAUUAUCAGACUGUGCCGUCGUGUUCGCAAGCCCAAUACAAGAUACCCGUCGUCUUGCUGGACGCGCUGAGGCAGCCGUCAUGUAAAGGGUAGCUUAAAUACUGUAAGCGGGAGUUAGAGAGACUAAGAAAGAAAUUACCAACACUAUUCCUGUUAUUUCCAUUCGUUUCCUUUGUAGUUAGCCAGUAGACAGUUACAAGUGGUAUCGGCUUUGUUCAUCCUGGGCACAGCUGUUCCCAGUCCCUUACCGAUGGCGACUUCGGGGGAUUCGAGCGUCGCUGUGGCGCUUGAGGCGCAGGCGCAGACCAUGGCCGCCCAAGCUCGGCUGCUGAAGCAGAUCUGUGACCGCCUCGACGCGCAAGACCGCCAUUGGGAGACGCUUGAGAAGACAGUGGCGGGUAACAUCGCUUCUAUCGGUACCUUAGCGACCAAGCUGCAAGAGGUGGAGGUUCCUGCUGCUGUUCGAGCGGACAUGGCUCGGUCGUUGUCGCAUCAGGUGGAGACUCAGGUGGGGGAAUUCCAAUCUCUGACAUGGGAGCGCAUUGAUGCCGUCUGAAAGGAUCACGAUGCCCAAGAGGGGGGGUGAAUUGGGCUUUUCUAAAAAUCAACACUAAUUAAAACCUAAGCAAUAGCUAAACAAGAGCCCAACUUCACCCCAACAACUAGCACUAAGAAAAUAAUACUAGAAAUGUAACAAGGCUAAAACAAUGCUUCAAAUAUUUGCUAAACAAAUACACAAAGUAAAGAGCUUGAAUUAAGUGCGGAAAGUAAAGCAAAGUUUAGAAGACUCCUCCAAUUUUUCCCGAGGUAUCGAAGAGUCGGCACUCUCCACUAGUCCUCGUUGGAGCACCCGCGCAAGGGUAUCGCUCCCCCUUGGUCCUCGCAAGAACCAAGUGCUCACUACGAGAUGAUCCUUUGCCACUCCGGCGCGGUGGAUCCCUCGAGACCGCUUACAAACUUGAGUCGGGUCACCAACAAGAUCUUCACGGUGAUCACCGAGCUCCCAACGCCACCAAGCCGUCUAGGUGAUGCCGAUCACCAAGAGUAACAAGCCAUAGACUUUCGCUUGACCAAGAGAAGCCUAAUGCAAGUGGUGUGUGCUCUAGGUGGCUCUCACUAGCGCUAAUGAGGAACAAGCGCAGAUUAUGAUUCUCUAAUCUCCUCACUAGGCUUUUGGUGCUUGCAAUGCUCUACCAAAGUGCUGGAAUAAAUGUGGAGUGCAAGACAUUGAAUAUGGUGGGUGGAGGGGGUAUAAAUAGCCCUCACCCACCAACUAGCCGUUACAGGAAACUUGCUGCGCGAUGGCGCACCGGACAGUCCGGUGCGCCACCGGUGCGCCAACGGUGCGCCACCGGUGCGCCAACGGUCACUUCCAACGGCUAGUUCUGACAGCUAGCCGUUGGACUCAUGGCGCACCGGACAGUGAACAGUCCACUGUCCGGUGCACACCGGACAGUCCGGUGCGGUGUCCGGUGUGCCACUAAAAUUCAUUUCCGAAGGCAGCGCUCUCGGGUUUCUGCGACUGGGAAGGCUCUGCUGAGGACCAGCCUGGUCCCACCUGGCAGAGGGUGCACCGGACAGUCCGGUGCACACCGGACAGUCCGGUGCCCCAAAGCAUCUUGUUUUUCAGCUGAUUUUCAAAUCGGUUUUCGUUCUAACUUGUGUGUGAGUUCUAGAGUGACACCUAGCACUGUAUAUGAGUGUGAUUGUGCACCAACACUACACUAGAACUCUCUUGGUCAAACUACUCAUCGACAACCCCUCUUUAUAGUACGGCUAAAAGAGAAUAAAAGACCUAACUAAAUCGCGAGUGUCCACAUCUCCUUGACACUCGGACUCCGUAGACCUUCACCUUUUGUUCCGUCUUUUUAGCCGUCGCUUCGAGUUCUUAUUUCCGGGAUUGUUUUCACAUUGUAGUGCUUUUACCUGUCAUGCGACCUAACUUACCAUUUGUCUCUGCAAAACACACGUUAGUCACAUAUAAUAUUACGUUGUCAUUAAUCACUAAAACCAACCAGGGGCCUAGAUGCUUUCAAUCUCCCCCUUUUUGGUGAUUGAUGACAACCCUACAAGUUUUGUGAGAGUAGUUUGUUUUGAAGAUUCUGUCAAUAGAGAGAAUGAUUAGUUAUACUUAGUAAUCUUUUUGACAGAAAGAAUGUGUACCAUAAUAAUAAGAGUGAGCGCAUACACAUCAUAAGAUUCUUGUUCAUAUAAAAGUGAAGUCAAAUUAAUGAAACAAGAGCUAGAAGACUGGUGAUAAAAUAUAAGGUGAACACACAGUCAAUCAUACGCAACGAGAGUAUAUGACGAGUUUGUGAGCCAAAAACAUAAAGCUAGUACAGAGAGUAGCAGGCACAAAUAUUACAUCAAAAGGACACUGACUCUCUACUAACUCUCUAACUCCCCCUAGCUCUCACAACUCAUAUCUCUCCCCCUUUGGCGUCAAACACCAAAAGGGACCUGAACCUAAACAUCUGAAGCAGGAGGAGGCGGCGGGGGCGCAUCCGGUCGAGGUCGAGGUAGCAGAGCAAACGCCGACGGAGGGUCAGAGUCAGUCUCGGAUCCAGGAUCUGCGGUAGAAGCUGGAGCUGGUACUGACUCGGACGCAGGCAGCGCUGCAGGAGCUACCGGAGCAGAAGCAGUCACAGAUACUGCCACAGCGGUAGUGGUAACAGCAGAUGCUGGUGGCACUGGCGGCUGCGGGCAGACAGAGCUGAGAACUGGAGAAGUGAACGCCAAGGUGACCGGCCGGAGCGGAGAGGUAACAGCAGGGGGUGCAGACAAGAUCGAAGGCACUACUGGAGCGUGAAGCGAAGAAGGCGGAGCAGACUGAACUGGAGGUGCUGAGAUACCAGAAUGCUGAAGCAUGAGAGCCAUGAAUGCCCUACUCUCUGCCCUAUCCUGAAUAAGCUGCUGCUGAAAUGCAUCCUGCCUGUCCUGCAUGCUCUGAAACAUCGAGAGCAUCCUGUCGGAUAAACGGGCCUGCUCGGCUGCCAGAAGAGCCUGCUGCUGGGUGAGAGUCUGCUGCUGCUGAGUGAGAGUCUGCUGCUGCUGGGUGAGAGUCUGAAGAAUCGAAGCAAGGGCAGGGUCCAAAGCUGGAGGAGGAGCAGGGGCAGCACGGGAACUCCCAGCCUCAUGAUCAUGUGAGCGUGGAGGCAUAGGAGGCGGGGGCGGAAGAGGAACCCCAAAAUCAUCAUCAUCAUCAUCAUCAGCAGCUGCACCCUGGGUGUCAAACUGUCGAAGUGCAGCAUCCUCGGCCUGAGUGUCAAACACAGGAGCAUAAGCUGGCACUGGAAUCUCAGGAGCAGGACGGUAAGAUCCAAACACAAGGCGUGAGGCCUCAAGGGUACUCUGAAAACGAGGUGGCUGGAUCAGCUGCGCAAAGAUGUGGCACAAGUAGUGAGCAUACGGUAGCUGCCGUCGAGCACGAAUCCCAUCCAGAACGGUGUCCUCAAUCUCACAGAUCAGAAAGUCAACAACAUCAAACUCAGAGUGGGAUACCAGGGCACCAAGGAGCCAAAGCUGAAUAUGAGUGGUAGCCUCCCUGUAUCCCAUCCUAGGCAGGAGUGUCCGUCUGACGAGCUCAUAUAAGUACUUCGCUGCAGUAGUGGGCCAACACUGGGUGCAGAUGGUCGCUUGUGGAUGGAAGGCUUCAACAUUGUCCAGUGUGGAAAUUACGCACAAUCAGUACCUACGGCCAUACCAGUUGCUCAGGUGCCUCAGCUACGUUACCAGUCAGAGGAUGAACUAGCGGCGAGGCGAACACGCAGUCACAUCACAAUCUCAUCGUCAGUUGGGUCCCCUAUAAACCCGCUCCAGCGCUCUCCGAUCAGAGCGACUCCAUUGCGAGUCGGUUCAUACCCCCGGUCGACAGAGGUGUCCGUCUGUACUGCUGUGAAUAUAGGUUCGGCUUUUCCGGCCAUUAUGAUCACGACCCGAAAAUAG